RNAcentral lists this long non-coding RNA (165 nucleotides) under Cavia porcellus (domestic guinea pig). RNAcentral describes it as "lncRNA (ENSCPOG00000038845.1)". The record is from RNAcentral. Lineage: Eukaryota; Metazoa; Chordata; Mammalia; Rodentia; Caviidae.
AUUAAGUGAUAAGCAAGAAACAUCCUUCUGCAAUGUGCUGAGUGUACCUAAGGAUGGAGACAUGUAAAAGACAACGACAGGCCACAGCGAGGUGACAGUCAACACCCAUCAGGGUGUUGGCUUGCUGAGGUCUCACUCCUCAAAUAAUUAACCGAUCAAGUCAGC